This 773-nucleotide unclassified non-coding RNA is filed under the name Trichoderma citrinoviride. RNAcentral describes it as "sequence contains 18S rRNA gene, ITS1, 5.8S rRNA gene, ITS2 and 28S rRNA gene". The stretch from base 1 to 390 matches the Rfam family "Eukaryotic small subunit ribosomal RNA", at positions 203 to 598 of the family's 1831-position model. The record is from RNAcentral. Lineage: Eukaryota; Fungi; Ascomycota; Sordariomycetes; Hypocreales; Hypocreaceae.
CCCUGACCAUUCCCUACAAAUUUCAAAACGUGGCUCUUUGGGCUACUGGGGAUGCCUGAAACCCAGUAAAUCCAACGGGCUUCGUGCGGGCAAGGGCUCUCUCAAUUUCCUUCCCUACCAACUUCCCAGGAUGGGGAAUUGGGCUAACUUGGUGGAACCGGGUAAUCGAGGGUUAGGGCCCGCCCCCGGAGAUGGAGCCGGAGAAACGGGCAACUACAUCCAAGGAAGGCAGCAGGCGCGUAAAUUACCCAAUCCCGACCCGGGGGAGGUUUGGGUCAUUUAAUCCUGAUGCAGGGGUUUUUUUAAGGGGUCUUUGAAAUCGGAAGGAGUACAAUUUAAAUCCCUUAACGAGGAACAAUUGGGGGGGCCACACCUGGAUAAACCAUGAGUUGAUCCUCGCCAGGGGGGGAGAAAGCAGGGAAACCAGGUUGCCCCCCCCGGGGGGGGGGAAGCUUGGGUAACAAGGUGGAUCACGCCGGGUGGGGGCCAAUUCUUCAAAAUAAGACUUCUAUUACGAUUCACUGCCCAUGGUUCUACCACUUCGUGACUGGGCAAAACCCUGCCGUUACCCCCCCUCUUAUCGUCUUGCCCCACAUCCCCCUUUUCGCCUCGCUCUGGCAAAAAACGAUAUACCCUCACACCCAUGGCCCUUCCCCACAUUGCACCACCCUAAAUAGCAAAAUGAGUCGCCGUGGUAACACACAUUAUUGUCGUUUACGCUUGUUUGGUUUCUCUCUAGCCCCGACCCUUUACCCUUUCAGACCCCCCUAGCC